UAGCUAUUUUUAAUGUAUUAAAAAAUGAAGACAUUCAAAAAUCAUUCACCAAAAAAAUUUCAAAAAGUAGAUUAGCCGUAGAAAUUAUUAAAAUGUUUUCAAGUAACUGUCAAAACAUAGUUUUAUCUUUGACUUUGUUAAAUUAUAGUGGUUAUGCUGAAAAAAUUUUUAAACUUCCUCCUUCAUAUUUUUUAAAAAAUGAAGAACAAUAUAAACAAAUAAAGAAAAAUGACAAACUCAUAAAAACUGAUUUUAAUAAUAAUAAUAAUAAUAAUCAUGUAAAAAAAAAAUUGAACGCAUCAGAAAAUGAUAGUUGUAUAAUAAAUCAGGCUGAUAAUAUGACAGAAUUAGUAAAAAACAAAGAUGAAUUUAAAUGUGAUGAUUUAAAUGUUAAGGUAGGAAAAUGCCAAACGAAUUGUGAUAGUACUACACUAGGAGUAAGUAAUUCUUCUAAUUUGUUGUUACAUACGUCAACCAAUAAGAGCAUUACGUGUUUGAUACAAUCAUUUGAAAAUAUGCAACAAACGCGAACACCACAGACAGAAGCGAUAGAAAAGGAAAAAACAAAUGACCAACCAAAUGGCCAACCAAAUGGCCAACUAAAUGACCAACCAAAUGACCAACCAAAUGACCAACCAAAUGACCAACCAAAUGGCCAACCAAAUGACCAACCAAAUGACCAACCAAAUGACUGGCUUUUUCAAGGCCUAAAUUAUGUAAAAUUUUUUAAAGACGCCGAAAAAAAUAAAUUAUUAAAAAAUGUGUUUUGUGAUUUAAAAUAUGAAACACAGUUACAUAAUAUACAUUUAUGUUUAUUUUUAUUACCUUUAAAAAAUUAUUUUAUCAAUUUAAAAAACGGAUUGAAAACAGAACAUGUUGUUGAAUAUGUAAUUCGUGAAUCGUUAAAGUUUCCGUUAAAGUAUUCAAAAUUCUGUGUUUCUAUCUAUGAAGGUUUUCACCCUUUAUACGAGUUGUAUAAAAAUGAAACCGUUCUUUCUGUUUUACAAAGCAUAAAUGACGAGGAAGGAAAUGGUCAUAUAGGCGAAACUUAUGAGGUUAAAAAUAUUGGUAUUAGUGAAAAGGCUGAUAUUGAUAUGAGCGAAAAGAAUAACAGCAAAACCGAUGAUUCAGCGUAUAUAACAGGUGAUAUAGUUUUAUUUUUAAAAAAAGUUGGGGGAAAUUGGAAUUUAUUAUUAUUAGUUUUUUAUAUAUUUCAAAAAUAUAAUGAAAUAAAUAAUAACUAUAUAACAUGGAUUAAAAAUGAUAUAUAUUUAUCAGACUUUGUUAAAAAAUUAUAUCAAUAUAUUUUAAAAAAAAAAUUACAAGAUGGUUAUAAAAUCAAGCCCUUUUUAAAAUGGCCAGACAUAAAACAUAAUUUUCCUGAUAUCCCUUUGACUCGGAUAAGUGAAAUUUACGAGCAAAUAGUUAGAAACA
Molecule: long non-coding RNA, 1434 nt
Filed under: Piliocolobus tephrosceles (Ugandan red Colobus)
Lineage: Eukaryota; Metazoa; Chordata; Mammalia; Primates; Cercopithecidae
Description: lncRNA (ENSPTEG00000015476.1)
Source: RNAcentral